GCCAUGCCGCGUGCAGGAUGACGGUCCUAUGGAUUGUAAACUGCUUUUGUACGGGAAGAAACACUCCGACGUGUCGGAGCUUGACGGUACCGUAAGAAUAAGGAUCGGCUAACUCCGUGCCAGCAGCCGCGGUAAUACGGAGGAUCCAAGCGUUAUCCGGAAUCAUUGGGUUUAAAGGGUCCGUAGGCGGUCUGGUAAGUCAGUGGUGAAAGCCCAUCGCUCAACGGUGGAACGGCCAUUGAUACUGCUGGACUUGAAUUACUGGGAAGCAACUAGAAUAUGUAGUGUAGCGGUGAAAUGCUUAGAGAUUACAUGGAAUACCAAUUGCGAAGGCAGGUUGCUACCAGUGGAUUGACGCUGAUGGACGAAAGCGUGGGUAGCGAACAGGAUUAGAUACCCUGGUAGUCCACGCCGUAGACGAUGGAUACUAGCUGUUGGGAGCAAUCUCAGUGGCUAAGCGAAAGUGAUAAGUAUCCCACCUGGGGAGUACGUUCGCAAGAAUGAAACUCAAAGGAAUUGACGGGGGCCCGCACAAGCGGUGGAGCAUGUGGUUUAAUUCGAUGAUACGCGAGGAACCUUACCAAGGCUUAAAUGCAGACUGACCGAUUUGGAAACAGAUCUUUCGCAAGA
Molecule: ribosomal RNA, 630 nt
Filed under: Flavobacterium sp. So3Ps_1729
Lineage: Bacteria; Pseudomonadati; Bacteroidota; Flavobacteriia; Flavobacteriales; Flavobacteriaceae
Description: bacterial SSU rRNA
Rfam family: Bacterial small subunit ribosomal RNA
Source: RNAcentral